GUCUUUGACAUAUAUAAAAGAGAAGAAAAGUUAGUCACCGAAGAGCUGUUUAAGAAAAUUCCUCUGUUGGUUUCUAAGGUAGCAUUCCUCACACUUAUUCUUGUUAUUAUGUUUGUUCUAUGUGCUUACUCGUAAGGGUUGAACAAACAAUUUUCAGGUUUCUCAUUAGAUAAAUGGUGAUGAAUGUUGUUUUUACAUUCUUUAGUACAUAAAAAUAUUCUAAAAGAGUGCUCCGAAAAAUUUUAACAUCUUUGCGGGCUACCCGUAUUUUGUAACUUUUCUUUUCCUUUUUCGUUUCAACAAAAUUUGUCUAUUUUCAAGGGAUAUGUGUUUUGUGUGUGUGUGUGUGUGUCUAUAUAUAUAUAUAUAGCUAUAUUUUUGUUUGAGUUAGCAUAUUACGCAAAAUAGAAAAUGAAGAUGUGUUUUGACGUUUGUUAUUGCCUAUUUCUAAGUUGGUGUCUGAAUAAGGAAAUUAUAGUUUGAAUAGACAAAAACUGCUUUCUUGUUAUAGAGUAGUUUAACAAAAUAUUUAAUACUAGGGUUCUUUAUUAUCAAGCAUAUAUGAUUCCUAUCAUAUACCUCUUUAUUUCCAUGUACAAAAAGUACGUUAAAUUUAUAUAUAUAUAAAUUUUAUGAUUAAUAAAUAAUUUUUUUAAUAAUUUUUGCAGAUGUAGUUAGAAUACAUAUUAUUUCCAAAUCAAUGGUUCUCUGCUACCAUUACUCAAUUUGCAAAUCAUCAGAACCUUAAAGAUUUUGUCGAACUUAUAGAUGAAAAGGAUCAAGCUUCUUUAUUAUGCAGUCACUUUCACAGAUUUAUCUAUGGAAGUAUGUAUAAAGAACAAAAUGAAAAAUUUAGUAGCAAAUUAAUACACAAGUUCAUAAUGAGACUUUUCAACUGCGGCAAAAAAAAUGAAGUUUGGGUACGAUUAGACGAUCAUGUGGCCUGUUUUGGCAUGCAAGGAUUUUGUCUAAUCACCAAAUUACCAUAUCAUGAAGUAGCUGUUGAUCUCAAUUUUAAUAAUACUCGCCUUAGGGAUGAAUACUUCAAUGGUUCAAAAAGAAUUUCUAUGAAAAGACUUUCUGAAGUAUUUCACAUGUGUGAAGAUCAAGAAGAUAAAUUCAAGUUAAGAUUAGUUAUGUUCGUCGAAUGCGUUUUAAAACCAAAUGGAAGACACAUCGAUUUCAGAACCCUUGGAAUGGUUGAACAACUUGAUAAUUUCUUAUGUAUCCAUGGGGACGUAAAGCAUACUUUAUUUUAUUAAAUUCAUUGCAAGAAUCACACCUUGAAAGAAUACGAAGGAUGCAACAAAAUGACCAAACAGAUUGUAAAUAUACGUUACAUGGUUAUCUACUUGCAUUCCAGGUAUUUUUCUUUUAUUUUUUUCCCUAUUACAUAUAAUUUAAUCAUAUAAAAACUUUAAUAUUUCUUUUAUUUUUAUUUUAGUAUUGGAUAUAUGAAGCUUUCCCUUAAAUUCGACGACAAUUCGGACGUCGUAUCCGUACACGCUUCCAGUCUCCACGAAUGCAUAAAUGGAAGCCCAAAAUAGUAUUAACAGAACAAAUCGUUAAACAAUUUUUGACUACUCAACAUGUAUGAUUUAUUUCAAUUUACAAUUAAAUAUGUAUUUAAUUAUUUAUAAAUAAAUUUAAAAAUAUAAAUCUAAUAUUUUAUUACAAUUAUAGAUCGAAGUAAUUGCAGUAUUGAAUUCUACUGAAGAAGAAUUAGAAACAUUCUAGUAUGCAAAUCUUUCACUACCAGCUGAUAACCAACCUCGUAUACUAGAUAUCAUUGUCAAUGGUGAAUCCAAUAAUAUAACACAACAAAUUCCAGCUGAUAACAUACAUACGCAAGAAACAACUAUAGGCACUUCAACUAGAAUCUGAUCUACUUUUUCUGAAAGCUCAAACUAUGUAACUAAAGAAGAUAUAGAUCAGAUGUUCAACAUAUAUAGACAACAAGUAGUGUCAGAUGUAUUUAGUUUCUAUGACGGAUUAAAAACACAAAUGAUUGAAAAAUCAACAAAAUAAGAAACUCGCUAUCAUACAAUUCUUGAAACGCAAGAAGACUACCAAAUGAUUUUUGACAAUAAAAAACAAUUCUUUGAACAUCAGCAAAAAAGCCAACAAGACUACUUCCAUAGCAUGCAAUCUUAUGUGGAUACCGGUUUCAACUCAGCCAAAUUUUACAUUGAUGAACAAAAUCAAAGUAUACAGAAUCAGUUAUCCGACUGAAAAUCACACAUGGAAACGAUUGUCAGCUCUAUACGACGAGAUAUACCUCCUCGUACAAGUCGAAUUGACUUCGAAAUUCCUUCAACAUCUAAACAUAUUGAAGACGUGGAAAGAUCGGUGAAAGAAAAAAAAAAGUAAGCAAAAAUAGACACAAUCUUCAUCAACAACGCCAACUAAUAUUUUAGAAGACCAUAACAUCGAUAAGUACAAAAACAUUAGAUAAUGGAUAUUACAAAAUCCAUCAGGGUAAGAUAUUUAAUUUUACGUUGCUAACUUAAAUAUUAUAAUUUGUUUUUUACUCAUUUAAAAUUGAUUUAAAUUAUGUUAUACAGCGCAUAUUGGAACGAUGGAAUUGGCAAUCUAUACAAAAGACAAUCGCCAGAAAAUAUACUAGAUGAAACAAAAAAUAUAAAUAUUGUGGUAAGUAAAAUUUAAUAAUCAUAAUUCAUUUUUCUUCAUAUAUCUAAUUUACAUUUUUUUUACUAGCAUAUUGAUAUAGAAUUAAAGCUAUUGAGAAGGCUUAUUACCGUCGGUUCUCCCCUGCUUUCUAAAGAAUAUGCAAUCAUGGACCUUAGAUUCGAAACUGAAUGUGGACCUUAGAUUCGAAACUGAAUGUGUUCAUUGGUAUACAAAUAUGAAAGAAGGAAUUGGCCAUUCUGCAACUAAUUUCAAUGCAUUACAACGAUAUAUAAAAGGAGAAUUGCCCGUAUCAGCUCGACCGUGAAUAACAUACAACUAUUUAUUAAUUCCAUCAGCAUAUCCAAGCAACACUUGGUUUCUUUUUCUUGUUGAUUUUCAAAAGUGAAAAUUUCAUAUAUAUGAUUGCAGCCACAACAUUCAUACAUCGGAAGAAAUCAAAGCACGUGCAGAAUCGGUAUUGACUAUAGUAGAAUCAUUAUUAAUCUCUGCAGACAUUUUCUCCAUAUUUUAUAAAGGAGCAAAUUAUGAAGUCAUAUUUUAUAAAGGAGCAAAUUAUUGAAUUUUGAUGAUGCUUAGCAUCAAUAAUUUCUCAAUAAGGUUGGUAAAUUUAUUAAAUCGCUUGUUAUGCUUUUUCUCACUUUUCCAAUUACACAUUUAUCUAUUGCAUUAAUUAACACUUUUAUUAUUUUAACUCUAUGAUAAAGCUCAGCUACAAGAUGUCCUCGGCCAGGUCCAAAAGAGGCAAAUUUGUUCUUCAAAUUGAAGACACUAGCUUAGAGAGAUCAACUAAGGCGUCCGAGGACGCAAUGCUUUAUGAUCUUUCCUAGCUGGUUGUGUAACCUUUUGUUUCUUUUACAAAGUUGAUAGUGAUGAUGCUGGAUUCCUUCUAUUUUUCGCCUUCUUUUUUUCCUUUAGUUUGUAAUAGGUUUUAAAUAUUUGUUUAAUUUUUUAUUUUGUGUUUUUAUGGUUGUAACUGAAUUUACUAAAGAUGUUUCAACCUUUGUCUGACAGGAAGGAUUAUUCAUAAGAACCGGGCAGUUCAAUUCAAGCCCAAAAUCCAAAUCAGUCAUUUCUUGCUACUUCAGUGCUUCGUGAAUUCCAGAUUUAAGAAGCUCAUCCUCCAUUUAUAUUGUUGUCAGACAACAUUGAAGUUUUUUGUCCUUAUCACUAACUGUGUGAAUUAAUUUUUUAUCUCUGCUUGAAAACAAAGAAUUUCUCUGUUUACUACAGGAGUUCUAAAUCUUUUAUCAUAAUCCUUGUUAGCUGUUCACUGUUAACUUGGCCAAUUGGAGCGACUUGGAUGGCCAAAAAAUGACACAAUUAGCAUUGUGCAUCAUCACCAGCAGCAGUAUAACUAGAAUGAUAAGAAAAUAAAUGGUGAAAAUGUUGGUAGUGAUGGAUUUAAAAGAGAAGAAGGAUUUGGAGGAAAGAAAUGAUUUCCGAAUUAAAAUCUGAUCACUCAGGAAUUUGUGCAGUCCUCACUUGGGGGGAGUUACCAUAGACAGGAAACGAUGUCUCUUUCUCUGUCAAAAUUGUUGAUUAGUGAAAAGAAUGCUUUAGGCAGAAUUAUCGCGGAGUGGCCCAAAGGUUAGAUUGCUUCGUUAAUUUUUUUUUCAUUUAUUUCUUAAUUGAAGAAAUACUUAGUUUUUAUAUGAUUGGAAAUUAAUUUAAUCGUAAUUAAUUACUACUACUACUA
Molecule: long non-coding RNA, 4348 nt
Filed under: Olea europaea subsp. europaea
Lineage: Eukaryota; Viridiplantae; Streptophyta; Magnoliopsida; Lamiales; Oleaceae
Source: RNAcentral